CAGUAGCCGCGGUAAUACGAGGGGGGCAAGCGUUGUUCGGAAUUAUUGGGCGUAAAGGGCGCGUAGGCGGUUUGGCAAGUUUGGUGUGAAAUCUUCGGGCUCAACUCGAAGUCUGCACCGAAAACUGCCGGGCUUGAGUAUGGGAGAGGUGAGUGGAAUUUCCGGUGUAGCGGUGAAAUGCGUAGAUAUCGGAAGGAACACCUGUGGCGAAAGCGGCUCACUGGACCAUUACUGACGCUGAGGCGCGAAAGCUAGGGGAGCAAACAGGAUUAGAUACCCGAGUAGUCCCUGUCUCUUAUAC
Molecule: ribosomal RNA, 301 nt
Filed under: uncultured bacterium
Lineage: Bacteria
Description: partial 16S ribosomal RNA
Rfam family: Bacterial small subunit ribosomal RNA
Source: RNAcentral